AACGAACGCUGGCGGCAGGCUUAACACAUGCAAGUCGGACGCAUGUCUUCGGACAUGAGUGGCAGACGGGUGAGUAACGCGUGGGAAUCUACCCUUUGGUACGGGAUAGCUCCGGGAAACUGGGAUUAAUGCCGUAUGUGCCCUGGACUUAAGGUUUGGGGAAGGAUUGAUCGCCAAGGAGUGAGCCCGCGUCGGAUUAGCUAGUUGGUGGGGUAAAGGACCCACCAAGGACGACGAUCCGUAGCUGGUCUGAGAGGAUGACCAGCCA
Molecule: ribosomal RNA, 268 nt
Filed under: uncultured bacterium
Lineage: Bacteria
Description: partial 16S ribosomal RNA
Rfam family: Bacterial small subunit ribosomal RNA
Source: RNAcentral